This 477-nucleotide ribosomal RNA is filed under the name uncultured bacterium. Its description in RNAcentral is "bacterial SSU rRNA". It matches the Rfam family "Bacterial small subunit ribosomal RNA", at positions 28 to 502 of the family's 1533-position model. The record is from RNAcentral.
GAUGAACGCUAGCGGCAGGCUUAAUACAUGCAAGUCGAGGGGCAGCGGGGUAGCAAUACCGCCGGCGACCGGCAAACGGGUGCGGAACACGUACAGAACCUUCCUUUAAGUGGGGGAUAGCCCAGAGAAAUUUGGAUUAAUACCCCGUAAGACUAUGAAGUGGCAUCACUUUAUAAUUAUAGAUUUAUUGCUUAAAGAUGGCUGUGCGGCUGAUUAGGUAGUUGGCGGGGUAACGGCCCACCAAGCCAGCGAUCAGUAACUGGUGUGAGAGCACGACCAGUCACACGGGCACUGAGACACGGGCCCGACUCCUACGGGAGGCAGCAGUAAGGAAUAUUGGUCAAUGGACGCAAGUCUGAACCAGCCAUGCCGCGUGAAGGAUGAAGGCCCUCUGGGUUGUAAACUUCUUUUAUCUGGGAAGAAAUCACUUCUUUAUAGAGGUGUUGACGGUACCAGAGGAAUAAGCACCGGCUAACU